This 305-nucleotide ribosomal RNA is filed under the name uncultured bacterium. Its description in RNAcentral is "partial 16S ribosomal RNA". It matches the Rfam family "Bacterial small subunit ribosomal RNA", at positions 505 to 807 of the family's 1533-position model. The record is from RNAcentral.
ACAGCAGUAGCCACGGGAAAACGGAGGGUGCAAGCGUUAUCCGGAUUUAUUGGGUUUAAAGGGUCCGUAGGCGGAUCUGUAAGUCAGUGGUGAAAUCUCACAGCUUAACUGUGAAACUGCCAUUGAUACUGCAGGUCUUGAGUAAAUUUGAAGUGGCUGGAAUAAGUAGUGUAGCGGUGAAAUGCAUAGAUAUUACUUAGAACACCAAUUGCGAAGGCAGGUCACUAAGAUUUAACUGACGCUGAUGGACGAAAGCGUGGGGAGCGAACAGGAUUAGAUACCCCAGUAGUCCCUGUCUCUUAUAC